This 2008-nucleotide long non-coding RNA is filed under the name Gallus gallus (chicken). The record is from RNAcentral. Lineage: Eukaryota; Metazoa; Chordata; Aves; Galliformes; Phasianidae.
UCCAACCUUAAUGAUUCUAUGAUUCUAUGGGGAUGGUGGGGUUGGGUCAAUAGUUGGACUUGGUGACCUUAGAGGUCUUUUCCAACCUUAAUGAUUCUACGAUUCUAUGGGGAUGGCGGGGAUGGGUUGAUGGUUGGACUGGAUGAUCUUAGUGGUCUUUUCCAACUUUAAUGAUGCUAUGAUUCUAUGGGGAUGGAAGGAAUGGGUCAGUGAUUGGAACUGGUGACUUUGGAGGUCGUAGAAUCAUAGAAUCAUAGAAUCACUCAGGUUGGAAAAGACCUCAAAGAUCAUUGAGUCCAACCAUGACCUAGCCAUACUACCUUAACUCUAACAACCCUCUGCUAAAUCAUGUCCCUGAGCACAUUUCCAACCUUAAUGAUUCUGAGAUUCUAUGAUUCUGUGAUCAUGGUAGGUAUGAGUCAAUGGUUGGACUUGGAGACCUUAGACUUUCCAACCUUAACGAUUCUCUGAUUCUAUUGGCUUGUUGGGUGUAUGUCAGUGGUUGGGCUUAAUGACCUUGAAGGUCAUUUCCAACCUUAACAAUUCUCUGAUUCUCUUCUAGAAUGUAAAUUUCACCUCUGAAGGGAGGCUGUGUUUUGCUCAGCCUUGUUUAAACCCAUUGAAAUUUUCAAUCUGAUUCAUUUUGUUUUUUCACCUCCCAGAGGCCGAGCUCUCUGGAAACCACCGUCCCAUGUUGCCCAUCCCACUGAAAACAAUUUACCCCUCCCUGUAGAGGAGGGGAAUGUGUGACAUUGGCUCUGCUUUAUCAGCUGGGAAAGCCCCAGUGUGAGCUGAGCUCUGUGCGUGCAGACGGAAGGAGGCACAGGAAACGCGGCUGAGGCUGCAAGGUUACUCGGCAUGCGGCCCCGUGACGCCUGGUGUUGGGUGGCCAUGCUGCUGCUCGCCCUGUUCAGCAACACUGCUGGAGGCCGACGUGGAGCUGGAGGAAGAGCUGGGGGACGAGGAGGAGGAGGAGGCGGUGGAGGAGGAGGGCUACGUGGGGGCUUUCGGUCCAUCUCCCGUGGAGGCAACACUGCAGGCCGAGGCUCCAAGAUGGCGAGUGCCAUCGCAGCCGGUGCUGCCACAGGGUAUGGGAUGGGGCUCCUGGGGCGGCCGCGGCCCCCCCGCCUUGGUCAUGGCCCCCCGGCCCAACGGCAGCCCCCACCAGCUGGGGGGUUCCAUGCUGCAGCUUGGCCGGACCUGGGGGCCAAGCGGGGAUCCCCCAACCAAGCCCCCAAGGGACCGUGCGGUGGCAUUGUCCCCACUCUACUUCUGGCAAAUGCCAUCUGCUGGGUCAACCAUGGGAUGUAACACUGAGAGCUGACGUGGGGAGGGGGCACAGCACGCCCCAGGAUGAAACCAUGGGCACUUGGUGGUGCGUGACAGUGCUGGGAGGUGGGAUGGGGAUGAGGGAGGGGGGAGAUGCUCUGCUGCCAUCUCGAUUCCUUGGGACCCUCUGCCAGCAGCCAUCACUGUGCUCGUGGCAACCUUGGGAUCCUGCAAACCCAUUGAGCACAUGAAGAAAUCAAGCCCUGCAAGGAAAUUUCAGUAUUUCUACCCACACAUUGUGCAGACACAGCUGGAUCGACCCCACCAGCCUCGGUGCUUGUCCUGGUUUUACACGGCAUGGCAAAACCAAGGAAGAUGUUAUGAAAAGGUGUUCCUUUCCCCAAAGAAGAGCACUGGGAAUCAGUUGGGGACAUGGGGCUCCAAAACGGACCCCUCCAAAUUGCAAUAAAGUUUGGUUUGGAGACAGCCUCUUGCUCCAGUUUGCAGUAUUGGGGCAUCCUGUAUUGGGCUGCAAAUUUGCUCUUGUUAUGGGGAGCUUCACACCAGAUCCAUUGUAUUUAGCAUUAGGUGUAGCCCUGCAUUGCUAAGGAAUGUUGCAGAGAGAGUGGCACCAGCGGUGACAAUGCUGUGCAGGGAAAGGCCCUUCCUGCCCAAUCUCUCCAGCCUCAGUAUGACCAAAUCUGCUCUAGCCUUCAGCUGCACAAAGCACAGAUAGCUG